Mustela erminea (ermine) is the source of this 1940-nucleotide RNA transcript. It is a transcript of the gene named colony stimulating factor 2 receptor subunit alpha, with no coding region annotated. The record is from RefSeq and is a predicted model, not a curated record. NCBI's taxonomy places the organism in Eukaryota, Metazoa, Chordata, Mammalia, Carnivora, Mustelidae. The transcript is spliced from 11 exons.
UGACAAGGCAAUCACUGUGCUCACUUUGUGACCAGGCACAGAGCUGUCCAAGACGACAGCCAGAUGUCGGAGCGCUGGGAAACUGAGAAAGAAAACAGGUGGCCAGAGCAGAGCCCGGUGCAGUGGGGUUUUCCUCAUCCUUCGGGCAACCCCAUGCGACUCCUGGCCAUAACCAUCCUGUUCUUCAUGCUGCUGGACACAGUGUUCCUCCAGACUCUGGAGCAUCAGGAUCUUCCAAGUGCGGAAAGGGUCCCCCAUCUAAAUAUGAAGUUUGAUUCUUGGAGAAUGAAACUGAGUUGGGACUGCGAAGAAAACACUACCUACCUCGAAUGUGUGAUGAUUCACAAGGAGAAUGGACCCAUUAGCAUAAUACCCCAGGAGAAAGAAUGUCACUGCGAGUUUUCGGAUUAUUCUCUCCAUGAUGGAGUCACGCUUAUGGUUAAAGUAAAUAGCACCCAAAGACCGAUUCCAGAAACCCUGGUCUACGCUAACUCAGGUGGGAAUGGCACAGCUGCCCAGAAUUUCUCCUGUUUUAUCUACAAUGCAAACUUCAUGAACUGCAGUUGGGCAAAGGGUCAGGGUGCCCCUGAUGAUGUCCAAUAUUUUUUGUAUAUAAGAGACUCGAGGAAAAGAAGGGAAAGAGAGUGUCCUCAUUACAUAGAAGACUCGGGAACCCACGUGGGAUGUCACCUGGAAGACCUCUCGGGAUUAACUAACUACAAUUACUUCCUGGUGAACGGUACCAGCCAAAGGACGGGGGUCCAGUUCUUUGAUUCGGUUCUGUCGUGGAAGAAAAUCGAAAUAUAUAGCCCACCCAACAAUAUCAGCGUGCUCUGCAACGAGUCCCACUGCCUGAUCUGUUGGGAGAAGCCCAAGACCCGAUACAGGCUGUCCAACAUGGAGUUCAAAUACCAGCUGGACAUCCAGAGAAAGAGCAAUAAGGAAAACAGCGAGAAUCAACUGAUUGAGGUGCCCGGUAAUUUGGAGAAUAGCUACAACUUCCCAAGUCCGGAGCCCAGACCCAAGCAUACUGUGAAAAUAAGGACCUCGGACGCACGGAUCCAGAAGUGGGGCGCCUGGAGCCAGCCCAUUGAGUUUGGCUCCGAGGAAACCGCGCCCAGCCUCGUGCCCAUCUAUGCGCUGGUGGUCCUGGGGACCCUCAUCACGGUCCUGACCCUUGGCUGCCUUUUGAAAAGGUAAAACCCCGCGGACGGGUUGGCGUCAUCCUUGCAGACGGACGAGACGGACAAGGCGCUCGUUGGGAGGGAACGGGGGCCUUGCCCUGACCCUCGAGGGGCAGCACCGGCCGCACGUUCUCCGAUGCUUCCAGGCCCCUGGGUUGCCCUGAGCCCACCCGUGAGCCCUGUCCCUCCAGCUGGACGUGGACCCGCACCAAGCUCAGCUGUGCUCACGGACGGGCUGCGUUCAGCCUCAUGGGAAGGACCUUCCUCUUUCUGGAACGUCUCCCCACAACCCCUCGUCCAGCCCUUCAUGUCCCCCCAUAAGUCUUGCAGAGUCCUAGGGGCCCGCCUAAGGCCACUCCUCCUACACCCUGUCGGGACCCAGGAGGUGUCCUCCGGUGCUCACCCCUCGAUGACCCCGAUCCUAAUCUAGCGUCCCCUGUGCAUUUCCCUGAGCACUGACAGGCGAGCUAACGGCACAGGAAUGUAGCCUAGGGACAAGGACAGGACUCUGCCCGGCCUGCUGGACGGGAGCUGAUCCAGCACCAGUCUGGGAGCCUGGACCCGAGGGCAAAGGGGAACAGGGGCCGCCCCGCAACCCGCUGCCGGAACGGGACGGAGCGCGUGCUUUGCAUGAGAAUAGUUAUCUUAAUGAAAAGCUGUUUGAGUUUCCUGUGGCCACCGGGGAAAAAAAUGACCACAACCAGAAGGUUUGAAACAACAGAAAUGAAUCAUCUCCCAGGUCUGGAGACCAGAAGU